Molecule: unclassified non-coding RNA, 329 nt
Filed under: soil metagenome
Description: partial contains 5.8S ribosomal RNA, internal transcribed spacer 2, and large subunit ribosomal RNA
Rfam family: 5.8S ribosomal RNA (bases 1-120)
Source: RNAcentral
GAUGAAGAACGUAGCGAAAUGCGAUAAGUAAUGUGAAUUGCAGAAUUCAGUGAAUCAUCGAAUCUUUGAACGCACAUUGCGCCCUCUGGUAUUCCGGGGGGCAUGCCUGCUCGAGCGUCAUUAUAACCACUCAAGCUCUCGCUUGGUAUUGGGGUUCGCGGUUUCGCGGCCCCUAAAAUCAGUGGCGGUGCCUGUCGGCUCUACGCGUAGUAAUACUUCUCGCGAUUGAGUUCGAUAGGUCUACUUGCCAGUAACCCCCAAUUUUUACAGGUUGACCUCGGAUCAGGUAGGGAUACCCGCUGAACUUAAGCAUAUCAAUAAGCGGAGGA